RNAcentral lists this ribosomal RNA (492 nucleotides) under uncultured bacterium. Its description in RNAcentral is "partial 16S ribosomal RNA". It matches the Rfam family "Bacterial small subunit ribosomal RNA", at positions 29 to 507 of the family's 1533-position model. The record is from RNAcentral.
AGUGAACGCUGGCGGUAGGCCUAACACAUGCAAGUCGAACGGCAGCACAGUAAGAGCUUGCUCUUACGGGUGGCGAGUGGCGGACGGGUGAGGAAUACAUCGGAAUCUACUUUUUCGUGGGGGAUAACGUAGGGAAACUUACGCUAAUACCGCAUACGACCUACGGGUGAAAGCAGGGGAUCUUCGGACCUUGCGCGAUUGAAUGAGCCGAGGUCGGAUUAGCUAGUUGGCGGGGUAAAGGCCCACCGAGGCGACGCUCCGUGGCUGGUCGGAGAGGGUGAGCGGCGACACUGGAGCUGAGACACGGGCCAGGCGCCUACGGGAGGCAGCGGUGGGGAAUAUUGGGCGAUGGGCGCAAGCCUGAUCCAGCCAUACCGCGUGGGUGAAGAAGGCCUUCGGGUUGUAAAGCCCUUUUGUUGGGAAAGAAAAGCAGCAGGUUAAUACCCCGCUGUUCUGACGGUACCCAAAGAAUAAGCACCGGCUAACUUCGUG